Molecule: non-coding RNA, 25 nt
Filed under: Cricetulus griseus (Chinese hamster)
Lineage: Eukaryota; Metazoa; Chordata; Mammalia; Rodentia; Cricetidae
Source: RNAcentral
AUGGCAUGGGUGGUUCAGUGGUAGA